ACACGUAGGGGGCUGACGUUGUUUGGAAUCAUUGGGCGUAAAGGGCGCGCAGGCGGCCGUCCAAGUCCGGUGUUAAAUGGUCCGGCUCAACCCGAUAAUGCGCUGGAAACUGGGCGGCUUGAGUCCCGUAGGGGAUGCCGGAAUUCCAGGUGAAGGGGGGAAAUCUGUAGAUUACUGGAAGAACAGCGAGGGCGAAGGCAGGCAUGUGGCCGGAGACUGACUCUGAGGCGCGAAGGCGCGGGGAGCGAACAGGUUUAGAUACCCUGAUAGUCCGCGCAGUAAACGAUACGCUCCAGGUGUCGGGCGGCAGCGCCCGGUGCCGGAGCUAACGCGAUGAGUGCGCCGCCUGGGGAGUAUGCCCGCAAGGGUGAAACUCAAAUGAAUGGACGGGG
This 392-nucleotide ribosomal RNA is filed under the name uncultured bacterium. Its description in RNAcentral is "partial 16S ribosomal RNA". It matches the Rfam family "Bacterial small subunit ribosomal RNA", at positions 523 to 918 of the family's 1533-position model. The record is from RNAcentral.